This 253-nucleotide ribosomal RNA is filed under the name uncultured bacterium. Its description in RNAcentral is "partial 16S ribosomal RNA". It matches the Rfam family "Bacterial small subunit ribosomal RNA", at positions 524 to 776 of the family's 1533-position model. The record is from RNAcentral.
UACGUAGGGGGCAAGCGUUGUCCGGAUUUAUUGGGCGUAAAGAGCGUGUAGGCGGCCUGACAGGUCAGCUGUGAAAACUCGAGGCUCAACCUCGAGACGUCGGUUGAAACCGUAUGGCUAGAGUCCGGAAGAGGAGAGUGGAAUUCCCGGUGUAGCGGUGAAAUGCGCAGAUAUCGGGAAGAACACCCGUGGCGAAGGCGGCUCUCUGGGACGGUACUGACGCUGAGACGCGAAAGCGUGGGGAGCGAACAGG